GAGUUUGAUCCUGGCUCACAACGAACGCUGGCGGCGCGCCUAACACAUGCAAGUCGAACGCGAAAGUGUAGCAAUACAUGAGUAAAGUGGCGCACGGGUGAGUAACACGUAGGUGAUCUACCUUUGUGACCGGAAUAACCAGUCGAAAGAUUGGCUAAUACUGGAUAGAGCGCAAACGGCGUAAAGCCGUAUGCGGGAAAAGGGGGCGUAGCAAUACGCUUUUGCACUAAGAUGAGCCUGCGUCCCAUCAGCUAGUUGGUAGGGUAACGGCCUACCAAGGCAUUGACGGGUAGCUGGUCUGAGAGGACGAUCAGCCACACUGGAACUGAAACACGGUCCAGACUCCUACGGGAGGCAGCAGUGGGGAAUCUUGCGCAAUGGGCGAAAGCCUGACGCAGCGACGCCGCGUGAGUGAAGAAGGCCUUCGGGUUGUAAAGCUCUGUCGAGCGGGAAAAACGGCCCACCGGACUAAUAAGACGGUGGCGUGAUGGUACCGCUAAAGGAAGCACCGGCUAACUUCGUGCCCAGCAGCCCGCGGUAAAUACGAGGGGUGCAAGCGUUGUUCGGAAUUAUUGGGCGUAAAGGGCAGGUAGGUGGUCU
RNAcentral lists this ribosomal RNA (600 nucleotides) under uncultured Pseudomonadota bacterium. Its description in RNAcentral is "bacterial SSU rRNA". It matches the Rfam family "Bacterial small subunit ribosomal RNA", at positions 9 to 581 of the family's 1533-position model. Lineage: Bacteria; Pseudomonadati; Pseudomonadota. The record is from RNAcentral.